This is a long non-coding RNA of Magnolia sinica, 992 nucleotides long. RefSeq lists it as uncharacterized. The record is from RefSeq and is a predicted model, not a curated record. NCBI's taxonomy places the organism in Eukaryota, Viridiplantae, Streptophyta, Magnoliopsida, Magnoliales, Magnoliaceae. The transcript is spliced from 3 exons.
GUUAGAAGCCUGGCUCGGGGCCCUAACACUGUUGCAAGAAGAUUUAAAGGAUACAUCAUUAAUGGUUUCAGGUUUCGUACAAGAGACCGUGAGAGGGACUUGAAAACACAGAAUAGUGGAGUUGUAGUGACGGCAAAGACAUCAAGCUUUGUAAGUACAAGUGAUAGAAACCCUGUUAUAGGGGAUGUGGAUUACUAUGGUGUUUUAACAGACAUUAUCGAGUUGGAUUAUUGUGGGUCCAAGAAAGUUGUAUUAUUUAGGUGUGAUUGGGUGGAUGUAAGAACUCAGGGCAGGGGAAUCAAGAAGGAUGAAUUUGGGUUCACGCUCGUGAAUUUUAAACAAUUAUGGCAUACUGGUCGGAACCUGUAUGAUGAACCAUAUGUCUUAGCAACCCAAGUACAACAGGUAUUCUAUGUCCCCGAUCCCAUAGAUCGUGAUUGGCAUGUUGUUAUCAGGUCAAAACCAAGGGAUUUGUUCGAAAUGGGCAUGAAUGAUUCAUUUGUUGAUAAUGAUACAUACCUUCAGAGCUUGCCUUGCAUUAAUCAUACAUUGGAAGCGACAUGCUUGCCAAUGAUGAUAAUGUGAGUUGGGAUAGGAUGGAUGUGGAGGGAAACAAAGUUAACACUCCACAAAACUUAUCUAAUUUGAUUAAAGAGGACCACGAUUCUGGGUCAGAAUCUGAUGAUUAGGAAAUGAAGAUGUCGACUUCCGACCAUCAUCAUUCGAGCUUUAUUGACCCGGUCCCGACCACCAGCCAGGUUGGACAAAGUUCAGAUAGUUCAGCACUGACUCCGGAUUAAGUGGAAUAUCGACGAGGACCGUCGAAAUUGGGUAAUGAAGUCCAUCGAAGCUUCAUGGAAGGAGUGGAAGAAGAGGUUAAAAAAAGAACACUGCAACCGAUAUUUGACUAAUGAGGAACAACUAGCUCACUGUCCUAAUCGAUUAGAGCCGACACACUGGAAGUGGCUUGUCACCAAUUGGUUAAGUGAUGA